GAUCCUGGCUCAGGAUGAACGCUAGCGGCAGGCUUAAUACAUGCAAGUCGAGGGGUAACAUGGGUAGCAAUAUCUGAUGACGACCGGCAAACGGGUGCGGAACACGUACGCAACCUUCCCAUAACUGGUGAAUAGCCUUUCGAAAGAGAGAUUAAUACACCGUAACAUAAUGAAAUGGCAUCAUUUUAUUAUUAUAGGCUUCGGCCGGUUUUGGAUGGGCGUGCGCCUGAUUAGGUAGUUGGCGGGGUAACGGCCCACCAAGCCUGCGAUCAGUAACUGGUGUGAGAGCACGACCAGUCACACGGGCACUGAGACACGGGCCCGACUCCUACGGGAGGCAGCAGUAAGGAAUAUUGGUCAAUGGACGAAAGUCUGAACCAGCCAUGCCGCGUGAAGGAUGAAGGCCCUCUGGGUUGUAAACUUCUUUUAUCUGGGACGAAAAAAGCUCAUUCUUGAGCACUUGACGGUACCAGAGGAAUAAGCACCGGCUAACUCCGUGCCAGCAGCCGCGGUAAUACGGAGGGUGCAAGCGUUAUCCGGAUUUACUGGGUUUAAAGGGUGCGUAGGUGGGCAGUUAAGUCAGUGGUGAAAUCUCCGAGCUUAACUCGGAAACUGCCAUUGAUACUAUCUGUCUUGAAUAUUCUGGAGGUGAGCGGAAUAUGUCAUGUAGCGGUGAAAUGCUUAGAUAUGACAUAGAACACCAAUUGCGAAGGCAGCUCACUACGGGAUUAUUGACACUGAGGCACGAAAGCGUGGGGAUCAAACAGGAUUAGAUACCCUGGUAGUCCACGCCCUAAACGAUGGAUACUCGACAUCAGCGAUACACUGUUGGUGUCUGAGCGAAAGCAUUAAGUAUCCCACCUGGGAAGUACGAUCGCAAGA
Molecule: ribosomal RNA, 882 nt
Filed under: uncultured bacterium
Lineage: Bacteria
Description: bacterial SSU rRNA
Rfam family: Bacterial small subunit ribosomal RNA
Source: RNAcentral